AAGUCGUAACAAGGUUCCCGUAGGUGAACCUGCGGAAGGAUCAUUACAGAGAGGGGGUGUUUCGCCCCCGGGGGCUCCGGCCCCCACCUCUAUACCCGUGCUCACGUACCGUUUUCCUGUUGCCUUGGCGGGCCUUGGGCCCACCGCCCACGCCGGCUCCCCCGCUGGCCCGUGCCCGCCAAUCGCCCCCCUCAAAUCGUUGGAUCGGUGAUGUCUGAGCGUAUAUAUACCAAUAAUCAAAACUUUCAACAACGGAUCUCUUGGUUCUGGCAUCGAUGAAGAACGCAGCGAAAUGCGAUAAGUAAUGUGAAUUGCAGAAUUCCGUGAAUCAUUGAAUCUUUGAACGCACAUUGCGCGCCCCGGUAUUCCGGGGGGCAUGCCUGUUCGAGCGUCAUUGCACCCCCCAAGCGUAGCUUGGUCCUAGGGCCUCGCCUCCCAGGCGUCCCCGAAAAGCAUGGGCGGUCCAGGGGCGACUUCAAGCGCAGUAGAUUACCUCCCGCUUCGAAGCCGGCCCUGUGGCCUCCAGACAGGCCCCGUAUGUCUCAAUGAUUGACCUCGGAUCAGGUAGGGAUACCCGCUGAACUUAAGCAUAUCAAUAAGCGGAGGAAAAGAAACCAACAGGGAUUGCCUCAGUAACGGCGAGUGAAGCGGCAAGAGCUCAAAUUUGAAAUCUGGCCCGUUCCGGGUCCGAGUUGUAAUUUGUAGAAGAUGUUUCGGGCGACGUGCCGGUCUAAGUCCCUUGGAACAGGGCGUCAUGGAGGGUGAGAGUCCCGUGUGUGACCGGCGUCCGAGUCCAUGUGAAACUCCUUCGACGAGUCGAGUUGUUUGGGAAUGCAGCUCAAAAUGGGUGGUAUAUUUCAUCUAAAGCUAAAUACCGGCCAGAGACCGAUAGCGCACAAGUAGAGUGAUCGAAAGAUGAAAAGCACUUUGGAAAGAGAGUUAAACAGUACGUGAAAUUGUUGAAAGGGAAGCGCUUGCGACCAGACCUGCCCGCGGACGAUCCCCGGGGGUUCUCCCCCGCCCACUCGUCCGUGACCAGGCCAGCAUCGGUUUCGGUGGCCGGAUAAAGACCGUGGGAAUGUAGCUCCCCCCGGGGAGUGUUAUAGCCCAUGCGUGCAAUACGGCCCACCGGGACCGAGGACCGCGCUUCGGCUA
Molecule: ribosomal RNA, 1155 nt
Filed under: uncultured fungus
Lineage: Eukaryota; Fungi
Description: eukaryotic LSU rRNA
Rfam family: Eukaryotic large subunit ribosomal RNA (bases 551-1155)
Source: RNAcentral